Long non-coding RNA from Thalassophryne amazonica, 89 nucleotides. RefSeq lists it as uncharacterized. The record is from RefSeq and is a predicted model, not a curated record. NCBI's taxonomy places the organism in Eukaryota, Metazoa, Chordata, Actinopteri, Batrachoidiformes, Batrachoididae. The transcript has 3 exons.
AAAUUCAGAUGUGCACAGGUAGAGAGAGCGAGAAGGAAGAAGUGCCUGCUUUAGCUGCAUUCACACAAAAUCCUUUCUGCAGGGUUGUG